Molecule: RNA transcript, 649 nt
Organism: Rhinopithecus roxellana (golden snub-nosed monkey)
Lineage: Eukaryota; Metazoa; Chordata; Mammalia; Primates; Cercopithecidae
Gene name: 60S ribosomal protein L15 pseudogene
Exons: 1
Source: RefSeq, a predicted model, not a curated record
UCCUUUCCGUCUGGCGGCAGCCAUCGGGUAAGCCAAGAUGGGUGCAUACAAGUACAUCCAGGAGCUAUGGAGAAAGAAGCAGUCUGAUGUCAUGCGCUUUCUUCUGAGGGUCCGCUGCUGGCAGUACCGCCAGCUCUCUGCUCUCCACAGGGCUCCCCGCCCCACCCGGCCUGAUAAAGCGCACCGACUGGGCUACAAGGCCAAGCAAGGUUACGUUAUAUGUAGAAUUCGUGUUCGCCGUGGUGGCCGAAAACGCCCAGUUCCUAAGGGUGCAACUUACGGCAAGCCUGUCCAUCAUGGUGUUAACCAGCUAAAGUUUGCUCGAAGCCUUCAGUCCGUUGCAGAGGAGCGAGCUGGACGCCACUGUGGGGCUCUGAGAGUCCUGAAUUCUUACUGGGUUGGAGAAGAUUCCACAUACAAAUUUUUUGAGGUUAUCCUCAUUGAUCCAUUCCAUAAAGCUAUCAGAAGAAAUCCUGACACCCAGUGGAUCACCAAACCAGUCCACAAGCAGAGGGAGAUGCGUGGGCUGACAUCUGCAGGCCGAAAGAGCCGUGGCCUUGGAAAAGGCAAGUUCCACCAUACUAUUGGUGGUUCUCGCCGGGCAGCUUGGAGAAAGCGCAAUACUCUCCAGCUCCACUGUUACCACUAA